ACUUGAGGCUGUGGAAGCCGCGUGCCUGGGGCGUAGACAGGGCUUAGAUCUUUUAGAAGAAAAGAAACCGAUUGCGGUAAAUCCUCUGGACUACGCCGGGUCCUCGGAAGCUGUGCGCUAACCAAAAUCCCCGACGCUGGCAGUUGCCAUUGUUCCCCAGAGGCAUCCACACUAAUGGGACCCAAGUAUUGUGCAGCUUCAUUUUACAGUGAGGAAACUCGGUGUAUGCAGGAUAGGGAACUCUACAUGGACCACAGAAGGCAAAAGCCUGCUGCUUUCCUGUGCAGGGUGGAGUGUACUAAGUUAGCAUCCUGUGAUGUACUUGCCCCAGCCAGCAACAGCAGAGAAGCACACAGGUAACACAGCUCCUUGAAGUUGGACCCUCCAGUGUUGUGUCAUUUGCCUUUCUUUUCUCAAGGGUUGUUGAAGAACCAAGACCAGGUACAUUUCAGCAGUUUCAUGCCCAAUGGUAUCCUGAAGCAGACGUAUACAGUGAUGGCCUGAGAGUCAUCUGGCCAGUGCUCCCAGGCACUGCCUGCCAGUAGCCCCAACCACAUCUGUGCAGCACAGUCCUCAGGACCUACACCAACAUCCCUUGAAAAAAAACAACAGUGUCUUUGUGGGUUUUAGGGGUUUUUUGUUGUUUUGUUGUUUUUUACAUGAAGAGUAGUCUAAACAAAAAUUUACAAAGCUCACUGAACUUAAAAUACUCUGGAAGUGUUGAUCAGCAAGAAGGCUGUGCUUUCAAACCAAAACAUGCCACAGAUGGCACCCAAAAGCAGGCAAUCUGUGAGCCUUCAGUGUGCUGUACACUCCUGGCUGAUAUUGUUUAGGACACCUGUGAACAGAAUGAGUGCUACAGGGCAUGCUCUGGGAGAAACAGUCUCUUCAUCUUCCUUGCCUAAUGCCUCAAUAAGCCAGGGAGCCUGGUGGGCUUCCCAGUGUCAUUAGCCGUGUGGAUCAUGUGGUCUCCUGGGAUGCCUGGUUUAGGUAGCCUCAAAGUUUCCCACUCACAGCUUUCUUGGAGAAAGGACAGUGGGGCAGAUCCCACAACCACUGUCACCACUUAUAAAAAGCAUUUCCCUUAUAAAUGGGACCCACCUGCUCCCUAAGGAAUUUCUAGCACCUAAGUAGCCUAUCACAAUCCAAGUGUCUCUGCCUGCCCUGAAAUAAGCCAAGAACUCUGAUAAGCAGAACAUGCCACAACUUGGCCCAGGAGAUGAGAAACCCAGCCGGGGUGCAAGCUGCAUGCAGACUACUCACUGUACCCCAUAAAGCACCCCAGAGCAUGGAACUGCAGCAGAAAUUGAAAUCUGCGUGCACAGCUAACCUCUUCAGCAACAGAAGCUACCUGAGAGCAAAGAGAAUGGCUCUGUACAACACCCACACACUGUCCUUUGGCUUUUGGUCAGGACUCCACAGACUGUCCAGUGCACAGGCCCUUCUUGAGUGCAUGGAGCUCCCAUGAGUGUCAUCUGUGAGUUUGCCACUGCUCUACCCAUGUAACUGGAAAACUUGUAAGCCAGACACAACUUUCCAUUUCUACCAUCAAUCCUCACAGGAGGGUUUUGGUGUCUAAGUGUCUGAGGACAGCAAGUUGGGUGGGAGUCCUCUACCUGGCCUCUCUUUGAUAGAAGAGUUGCUAAGAACACCAGCUGCAGGAGACUGGAAAUGACCCAACACCAUGGGAGGAAACACAGUACUUGGUCCACACCUUGUGCAGAAGGCAGAUCUCAAACAAGAGCAAGCCAGCUUUCCAGGAACUGUUUAAGAAGCAGGCUCCAGAGCCAGCUGAAUACAGGCAGUGAAGCUGUGUGUAUACUCAGGCUGUUAAGAACAGAUGGUGGGAGCCACCUGGUAUCCUGCACUAGCCCAAAGCACAACCAGGUGCCUGCCUGAGCCCAGCUCCUCUCCCAGGAGCCUGGGAAACCACAGACAACAUAUUGUGCAUUAACCAGGCCAUGCAGAAACACCCACAGGAACCUGGCCUGGCUUCUAGGGCAGCUUCAUGAUACAGAAAGUCCCUACAUGCCUGCCUAUGUACACAUCAUACACAUGAAUAAGUAAAUAAAUGUUAUUUAUAUAAA
Long non-coding RNA from Mus musculus (house mouse), 2087 nucleotides. RefSeq lists it as uncharacterized. The record is from RefSeq and is marked validated. The transcript has 2 exons. Lineage: Eukaryota; Metazoa; Chordata; Mammalia; Rodentia; Muridae.